AUUCCUUGUUGUUAUUACAUGCCGGAGUGUUAUUAAACCCAGACUGAAUUUAUUGUUGUCAGCAAUGACAAAAUCUGACAUCUGUUUAUCAGACAUGAGAUAAUGAAUACUCUAAAUGUAAUAAAAUAUCUCAUAGCCAGGAUUUAGUUAUUAUUAAACUGGUCACAUUUUAGGACAAAUUAGCCCAUCAGGAAAAAUUCCCUAGCUCAACUAUUUUGGCCUAAAAUGUGCAUUUAUCCCC
This is a non-coding RNA of Pelobates cultripes (western spadefoot toad), 241 nucleotides long. The record is from the annotation of a GenBank genome assembly. NCBI's taxonomy places the organism in Eukaryota, Metazoa, Chordata, Amphibia, Anura, Pelobatidae.